CGCGUAGGCGGGAGAGCAAGUCAGAUGUGAAAUACCGGGGCUCAACCCCGGGGCUGCAUUUGAAACUGUUUUUCUUGAGUGAUGGAGAGGCAAGUGGAAUUCCUAGUGUAGCGGUGAAAUGCGUAGAUAUUAGGAGGAACACCAGUGGCGAAGGCGACUUGCUGGACAUUAACUGACGCUGAGGCGCGAAAGCGUGGGGAGCAAACA
RNAcentral lists this ribosomal RNA (207 nucleotides) under uncultured Eubacteriales bacterium. RNAcentral's name for it is "uncultured Clostridiales bacterium partial 16S ribosomal RNA". It matches the Rfam family "Bacterial small subunit ribosomal RNA", at positions 568 to 774 of the family's 1533-position model. The record is from RNAcentral. Lineage: Bacteria; Bacillati; Bacillota; Clostridia; Eubacteriales.